Long non-coding RNA from Meriones unguiculatus (Mongolian gerbil), 385 nucleotides. RefSeq lists it as uncharacterized. The record is from RefSeq and is a predicted model, not a curated record. The transcript has 3 exons. Lineage: Eukaryota; Metazoa; Chordata; Mammalia; Rodentia; Muridae.
UGACAGGAUUGCUAUACCAGCGUCAUUUGGUGGAAGUUUUGGUGUCUUUAAAAACUCAGUUGUGUUAGGUACAAAGAGAGUCAGGCAUUGGACCUGAGUCACCCGAUGGAGUGCCUUGCAGUAAGAUCUUACGGCUAGAAGGAGUGCUCUGCCUGCAGGCCAGAAGAGGGCACCAGAUCUCACUACAGAUGGUUAUGAGCCACCAUGUGGUUGCUGGGGAUUGAACUCAGGACCUCUGGAAGAGCAACCAGUGCUGAGCCAUUUCUCAAGCCUCUAUCCUCUUUAAAAUCUCCAAAGUCCUCCCCCGUACUAAAACUUCUCCAUCAGGAAACACCGCUUGUUUUUGUCUAACUCUAAAAGAAUAAAAGAGGAUUUGAUUGACUUA